This 491-nucleotide ribosomal RNA is filed under the name uncultured bacterium. RNAcentral's name for it is "partial 16S ribosomal RNA". It matches the Rfam family "Bacterial small subunit ribosomal RNA", at positions 28 to 507 of the family's 1533-position model. The record is from RNAcentral.
GAUGAACGCUGGCUACAGGCUUAACACAUGCAAGUCGAGGGGAAACGACGGGGAAGCUUGCUUCCCCGGGCGUCGACCGGCGCACGGGUGAGUAACGCGUAUCCAACCUGCCUCUGACUGAGGGAUAACCCGUCGAAAGUCGGCCUAAUACCUCAUGGCAUCGUCUGCGGGCAUCCAACGACGAUUAAAGAUUUCAUCGGUCAGGGAUGGGGAUGCGUCUGAUUAGCUUGUUGGCGGGGUAACGGCCCACCAAGGCGACGAUCAGUAGGGGUUCUGAGAGGAAGGUCCCCCACAUUGGAACUGAGACACGGUCCAAACUCCUACGGGAGGCAGCAGUGAGGAAGAUUGGUCAAUGGGCGGGAGCCUGAACCAGCCAAGUAGCGUGCAGGAUGAUGGCCCUAUGGGUUGUAAACUGCUUUUAUGCGGGGAUAAAGUGAGGGACGUGUCCCUCAUUGCAGGUACCGCAUGAAUAAGGACCGGCUAAUUCCGUG